RNAcentral lists this small RNA (111 nucleotides) under chicken gut metagenome. RNAcentral's name for it is "Ribosomal protein L10 leader". It matches the Rfam family "Ribosomal protein L10 leader". Rfam says of the family: This family is a putative r-protein leader autoregulatory structure found in B. subtilis and other low-GC Gram-positive bacteria. It is located in the 5' untranslated regions of mRNAs encoding ribosomal proteins L10 and L12 (rplJ-rplL). The record is from RNAcentral.
AAAAAGAAUAGUUUUGCCGUAGACAGCAGGUGCUUUGCUUAAUAUCCUGCCGAGGUUUUAGAUAAGAUUACUAAAGCUUUUGUAUGUCUAUUUAUAUACAAAAGCUUUUUU